GAUGAACGCUAGCUACAGGCUUAACACAUGCAAGUCGAGGGGAAACGAUAUUGGAAGCUUGCUUCCGAUAGGCGUCGACCGGCGCACGGGUGAGUAACGCGUAUCCAACCUGCCCACCACUUGGGGAUAACCUUGCGAAAGUAAGACUAAUACCCAAUGAUAUCUCAAGAAGACAUCUGAAUGAGAUUAAAGAUUUAUCGGUGAUGGAUGGGGAUGCGUCUGAUUAGCUUGUUGGCGGGGUAACGGCCCACCAAGGCGGCGAUCAGUAGGGGUUCUGAGAGGAAGGUCCCCCACAUUGGAACUGAGACACGGUCCAAACUCCUACGGGAGGCAGCAGUGAGGAAUAUUGGUCAAUGGGCGAGAGCCUGAACCAGCCAAGUAGCGUGCAGGAUGACGGCCCUAUGGGUUGUAAACUGCUUUUAUAAGGGAAUAAAGUGAGCCUCGUGAGGCUUUUUGCAUGUACCUUAUGAAUAAGGACCGGCUAAUUCCGUGCCAGCAGCCGCCGCGG
Molecule: ribosomal RNA, 508 nt
Filed under: uncultured bacterium
Lineage: Bacteria
Description: partial 16S ribosomal RNA
Rfam family: Bacterial small subunit ribosomal RNA
Source: RNAcentral